Molecule: non-coding RNA, 73 nt
Organism: Potamilus streckersoni
Lineage: Eukaryota; Metazoa; Mollusca; Bivalvia; Unionida; Unionidae
Source: the annotation of a GenBank genome assembly
GCUUUGGUGGUGUAGUGGUUAGAGUGUUCGCCUCGGAUAUGGGAGGUCGUGGGUUCAAUCCCCUGCCGAGUCA